AUUGAACGCUGGCGGCAGGCCUAACACAUGCAAGUCGAGCGGCUGAAGGGAGCUUGCUUCUGGAUUCAGCGGCGGACGGGUGAGUAAUGCCUAGGAAUCUGCCUGGUAGCGGGGGCUAACGUGCGGAAACGGGCGCUAAUACGGUAUAAGCGCUGAGGGAGAAAGUGGGGGAUCUUCGGAUCUCACGCUAUUGGAUGAGUCUAGGUCGGAUUAGCUAGUUGGUGGGGUAAAGGCCUACCAAGGCGACGAUCCGUAGCUGGUCUGAGAGGAUGAUCAGUCACACUGGAACUGAGACACGGUCCAGACUCCUACGGGAGGCAGCAGUGGGGAAUAUUGGACAAUGGGCGAAAGCCUGAUCCAGCCAUGCCGCGUGUGUGAAGAAGGUCUUCGGAUUGUAAAGCACUUUAAGUGGGGAGGAAGAGCAGUAAGUUAAUACCUUGCUGUUUUGACGUUACCAACAGAAUAAGCACCGGCUAACUUCGUG
RNAcentral lists this ribosomal RNA (484 nucleotides) under uncultured bacterium. RNAcentral's name for it is "partial 16S ribosomal RNA". It matches the Rfam family "Bacterial small subunit ribosomal RNA", at positions 30 to 507 of the family's 1533-position model. The record is from RNAcentral.